This 615-nucleotide ribosomal RNA is filed under the name uncultured cyanobacterium. Its description in RNAcentral is "bacterial SSU rRNA". It matches the Rfam family "Bacterial small subunit ribosomal RNA", at positions 122 to 770 of the family's 1533-position model. The record is from RNAcentral. Lineage: Bacteria; Bacillati; Cyanobacteriota.
GAACCUGUCUCGAGGUGGGGGACAACAGUUGGAAACGACUGCUAAUACCCCAUAUGCCGAGAGGUGAAAGAUUUAUCGCCUUGAGGGGGGCUCGCGUCCGAUUAGCUAGUUGGUGGGGUAAUGGCCUACCAAGGCGACGAUCGGUAGCUGGUUUGAGAGGACGACCAGCCACACUGGGACUGAGACACGGCCCAGACUCCUACGGGAGGCAGCAGUGGGGAAUUUUCCGCAAUGGGCGCAAGCCUGACGGAGCAACGCCGCGUGUGGGAUGAAGGCCUGUGGGUUGUAAACCACUUUUCUCAGGGACGAAGCUCUGACGGUACCUGAGGAAUCAGCCUCGGCUAACUCUGUGCCAGCAGCCGCGGUAAGACAGAGGAGGCAAGCGUUAUCCGGAAUUAUUGGGCGUAAAGGGUCCGCAGGCGGCUUGACAAGUCUGGGGUGAAAUCCCGGAGCUCAACUCCGAAUCUGCCUUGGAUACUGCCCGGCUGGAGGAGUGGAGAGGAUACUGGAAUUCUCGGUGUAGCAGUGAAAUGCGUAGAGAUCGAGAGGAACACCAGUGGCGAAAGCGGGUCUCUGGACACUUCCUGACGCUGAGGGACGAAGGCCAGGGGAGCA